GCCAGAGUGGCAUAGUGGUUUGAUUGCUGGGCUGUGAUUCUGGAGACCAGGGUUCAAAUCCCAGGUUGGCCA
Phrynosoma platyrhinos (Desert horned lizard) is the source of this 72-nucleotide non-coding RNA. NCBI's taxonomy places the organism in Eukaryota, Metazoa, Chordata, Lepidosauria, Squamata, Phrynosomatidae. The record is from the annotation of a GenBank genome assembly.